GAUGAACGCUGGCGGCGUGCCUAAUACAUGCAAGUCGAGCGAACAGACGAGGAGCUUGCUCCUCUGACGUUAGCGGCGGACGGGUGAGUAACACGUGGAUAACCUACCUAUAAGACUGGGAUAACUUCGGGAAACCGGAGCUAAUACCGGAUAAUAUAUUGAACCGCAUGGUUCAAUAGUGAAAGACGGUCUUGCUGUCACUUAUAGAUGGAUCCGCGCCGCAUUAGCUAGUUGGUAAGGUAACGGCUUACCAAGGCAACGAUGCGUAGCCGACCUGAGAGGGUGAUCGGCCACACUGGAACUGAGACACGGUCCAGACUCCUACGGGAGGCAGCAGGAGGGAAUCUUCCGCAAUGGGCGAAAGCCUGACGGAGCAACGCCGCGUGAGUGAUGAAGGUCUUCGGAUCGUAAAACUCUGUUAUUAGGGAAGAACAAAUGUGUAAGUAACUAUGCACGUCUUGACGGUACCUAAUCAGAAAGCCACGGCUAACUACGUG
Molecule: ribosomal RNA, 497 nt
Filed under: uncultured bacterium
Lineage: Bacteria
Description: partial 16S ribosomal RNA
Rfam family: Bacterial small subunit ribosomal RNA
Source: RNAcentral